UGAAAUAGUAAUUUUGCAGUAAUGGUCAC
This 29-nucleotide non-coding RNA is filed under the name Bombyx mori (domestic silkworm). Lineage: Eukaryota; Metazoa; Arthropoda; Insecta; Lepidoptera; Bombycidae. The record is from RNAcentral.